UAGCUUUUUUAUUAGUUGUAAGCAAAAUUACACAUGCAAAAAUCCCUGAGCCAGUGAGAAUGCCCUUUAAAUCACAUUGAUAUAAAGGAGCGGGUAUCAAGUACACACUUAGGUAGCUCAUUACACCUUGCUUAACCACACCCCUACGGGAAACAGCAGUGAUAAAAAUUAAGCUAUAAACGAAAGUUUGACUUAGUUAUGCAAUACAAUUAGGGUUGGUAAAUUUGUGCCAGCCGCCGCGGUCAUACGAUUAACCCAAAUUAAUAAACAUCGGCGUAAAGAGUGUUUACGAUUAUAAUCUAACUAAGAUUAAAUUCUAUUUAUGCUGUAAAAAGCCACAAAUAGAAUCAAACUCAAUAAACGUAAGUAAUCUUAUUAUAUCUGAACACACGAAAGCUAAGAUUCAAACUGGGAUUAGAUACCCCACUAUGCUUAGCUGUAAACACAAAAUAUUGAAUAUAACAAAAGAUUUCGCCAGAGGACUACUAGCUAUGGCUAAAAACUCAAAGGACUUGGCGGUGCUUCACAUCCACCUAGAGGAGCCUGUUCUGUAAUCGAUAAACCCCGAUAAACCUCACCACUUUUUGCCAAUACAGCCUAUAUACCGCCAUCUUCAGCAAACCUUAACAAAGAAUAAAAAUAAGCACAAUCAUAAUCGUAAAAACGUUAGGUCAAGGUGUAGCCAAUAAAGUGGGAAGAAAUGGGCUACAUUUUCUUCAUAAGAACAUACAACGAAAACUAUUAUGAAAUCUAAUAGUCUAAGGAGGAUUUAGUAGUAAAUUAAGAAUAGAGCGCUUAAUUGAAUAAGGCCAUGAAGCACGC
RNAcentral lists this non-coding RNA (822 nucleotides) under Georychus capensis (Cape mole-rat). RNAcentral's name for it is "partial 12S ribosomal RNA". It matches the Rfam family "Bacterial small subunit ribosomal RNA", at positions 25 to 1384 of the family's 1533-position model. Lineage: Eukaryota; Metazoa; Chordata; Mammalia; Rodentia; Bathyergidae. The record is from RNAcentral.